RNAcentral lists this ribosomal RNA (253 nucleotides) under uncultured bacterium. RNAcentral describes it as "partial 16S ribosomal RNA". It matches the Rfam family "Bacterial small subunit ribosomal RNA", at positions 524 to 776 of the family's 1533-position model. The record is from RNAcentral.
UACGUAGGGUGCAAGCGUUAAUCGGAAUUACUGGGCGUAAAGCGUGCGCAGGCGGCUUUGCAAGACAGAUGUGAAAUCCCCGGGCUUAACCGAGGAAGUGCAUCCGAAACUGGCGAGCUAGAGUACUAAAGAGGAUCGCGGAAUUCCCGGUGUAGAGGUGAAAUUCGUAGAUAUCGGGAGGAACACCGGUGGCGAAGGCGGCGAUCUGGGUAGAUACUGACGCUGAGGUGCGAAAGCGUGGGGAGCAAACAGG